CCUUUGUACACACCGCCCGUCGCUACUACCGAUUGAAUGGCUUAGUGAGACUCUCGGAUUGGGCUUUAGGAACCGGAAACGGUUUCUAUUUUCUGAGAAGUUUGUCAAACUUGGUCAUUUAGAGG
RNAcentral lists this ribosomal RNA (125 nucleotides) under Acaulospora morrowiae. RNAcentral's name for it is "partial small subunit ribosomal RNA". It matches the Rfam family "Eukaryotic small subunit ribosomal RNA", at positions 1657 to 1779 of the family's 1831-position model. The record is from RNAcentral. Lineage: Eukaryota; Fungi; Glomeromycota; Glomeromycetes; Diversisporales; Acaulosporaceae.